Perognathus longimembris pacificus (Pacific pocket mouse) is the source of this 695-nucleotide long non-coding RNA. RefSeq lists it as uncharacterized. Lineage: Eukaryota; Metazoa; Chordata; Mammalia; Rodentia; Heteromyidae. The transcript has 3 exons. The record is from RefSeq and is a predicted model, not a curated record.
UAUCUAGGAAUAAGCCCAGUGGAGAGAGUGGAAUAGAUCAGCAUGUGUUCUGGGAUCAACACCUUGGCUCAAGUAUUUGUUCCAUCAUUUACUGGGUACAUGUCUUUGAGCAGUCGUCUCAAUUCUUUAUUCCUCAGUUUUCCCAUCUACAAAAUAGGGAAAAUAAUAAAACCACAUACUGAUUAUUAGGAGGAUCUAAUGAGCUGUAUAUGGAGUGCAUAGAAUAGAGCUUGGAACUUAAGCUCUCUGAAACAUGUACUACUCGAAGGUGACAGAAUGAGAGUAAGACUAGAUUUGAGAGGUUGAAGGUAAUAGAAAGAAGGACUCCCUUGGGGGAAGCAUAGCCCCUGCUCAUUAAAUGUGAGUCAAAUGAAUGGUGGCCAGAGAUGAGUCAGAACGUAGAAUCAUUGGCAAACCCAACCAGAUUGGUGAUUUGCACUAGCAAAGCUCAGAGCCCCUAAAGUGAAAGUAGGUGAAAAGACUAAUUGGUUUCCUACUGGGUCCCUUGGCAGGUGACUGAUAGAGGAGAGAGGUUCCAGAGUAGUUUUUUUCUUUUUUUCCCCCCUCUGUUGUAUUAAAAGUUAUAUAAUUAAACCAUUACCUUGUAGGUGCACCAAAAUUCAGUUUUGUUACUUGUGGCCCAUAUAGGCAGUGUUACAUUUUUUGUUUUGUUUUUUAUUUAUUUAUCUAUUUGU